CAGGGGAUAGUUUAUAUAAAAUAUUAAUUUUGGAGAUUAAUGUAAAGAUGUUAAUCUUUCCCUUGA
RNAcentral lists this transfer RNA (66 nucleotides) under Smaragdina concolor. RNAcentral describes it as "tRNA-Pro". The record is from RNAcentral. Lineage: Eukaryota; Metazoa; Arthropoda; Insecta; Coleoptera; Chrysomelidae.